GCCCAGAUGGCGGAAUGGCAGACGCGCUAGGUUUAGGACCUAGUACCAGUAAUGGUGUGGGAGUUCAACUCUCCCUCUGGGCA
Molecule: transfer RNA, 83 nt
Filed under: Candidatus Daviesbacteria bacterium RIFOXYD1_FULL_41_10
Lineage: Bacteria; Candidatus Daviesiibacteriota
Description: tRNA-Leu
Rfam family: tRNA
About the family: Transfer RNA (tRNA) molecules are approximately 80 nucleotides in length. Their secondary structure includes four short double-helical elements and three loops (D, anti-codon, and T loops). Further hydrogen bonds mediate the characteristic L-shaped molecular structure. tRNAs have two regions of fundamental functional importance: the anti-codon, which is responsible for specific mRNA codon recognition, and the 3' end, to which the tRNAs corresponding amino acid is attached (by aminoacyl-tRNA synthetases). tRNAs cope with the degeneracy of the genetic code in two manners: having more than one tRNA (with a specific anti-codon) for a particular amino acid; and 'wobble' base-pairing, i.e. permitting non-standard base-pairing at the 3rd anti-codon position.
Source: RNAcentral